UACGUAGGUGACAAGCGUUGUCCGGAUUUACUGGGCGUAAAGAGCGCGCAGGCGGUCGAUCAAGUCGAGUGUGAAAGCCCCCGGCUCAACUGGGGAGGGUCAUUCGAUACUGAUCGACUCGAAGGCAGGAGAGGGUAGUGGAAUUCCCGGUGUAGUGGUGAAAUGCGUAGAUAUCAGGAGGAACACCGGUGGCGAAGGCGGUGGUCUGGGCCGGAACUGACGCUGAGGAGCGAAAGCGUGGGGAGCGAACAGG
RNAcentral lists this ribosomal RNA (253 nucleotides) under uncultured bacterium. RNAcentral describes it as "partial 16S ribosomal RNA". It matches the Rfam family "Bacterial small subunit ribosomal RNA", at positions 524 to 776 of the family's 1533-position model. The record is from RNAcentral.